Molecule: non-coding RNA, 89 nt
Organism: Abortiporus biennis
Lineage: Eukaryota; Fungi; Basidiomycota; Agaricomycetes; Polyporales; Podoscyphaceae
Source: the annotation of a GenBank genome assembly
UCCCGUUUAGCUCAGUGGUAGAGCGCUUCACUAGUAUCCACUAUGUUUGGUCUAUGAAGAGGUCAGUCGUUCAAGUCGGCUAAUGGGAA